Molecule: ribosomal RNA, 301 nt
Filed under: uncultured bacterium
Lineage: Bacteria
Description: partial 16S ribosomal RNA
Rfam family: Bacterial small subunit ribosomal RNA
Source: RNAcentral
CAGCCGCCACGGUAAUACGUAGGUGGCAAGCGUUGUCCGGAAUUAUUGGGCGUAAAGGGCUCGCAGGCGGUUUCUUAAGUCUGAUGUGAAAGCCCCUGGCUCAACCGGGGAGGGUCAUUGGAAACUGGGAAACUUGAGUGCAGAAGAGGAGAGUGGAAUUCCACGUGUAGCGGUGGAAUGCGUAGAGAUGUGGAGGAACACCAGUGGCGAAGGCGACUCUCUGGUCUGUAACUGACGCUGAGGAGCGAAAGCGUGGGGAGCGAACAGGAUUAGAUACCCGAGUAGUCCCUGUCUCUUAUAC